Long non-coding RNA from Balaenoptera acutorostrata (minke whale), 2609 nucleotides. RefSeq lists it as uncharacterized. The record is from RefSeq and is a predicted model, not a curated record. NCBI's taxonomy places the organism in Eukaryota, Metazoa, Chordata, Mammalia, Artiodactyla, Balaenopteridae. The transcript has 3 exons.
AUCAAGUUGGACAUGGGAAACUAAAGGGCAAGUCUAAAGCAGUACUUUUCCUAAUCUUAGGAGGUGCUGUAAUCCCUCGCCUGGAAUCCUUGGCUCUGUGAAGGUGCUCUCAGUUUGGAAAUAUAUGAAUGUAUGCUGCAGGGGAGCAAAGACUUUCCCUCUAUCCUCCUGGAUUGGAUAGCUGUGUCUUUGAAAUAAACUGACAACAGGCAGAUUAAUAGGAGAUAAGAUAUACAAAUUCAUUAAAUUUUAAUAUUUCAUGCAUGGGAGCAUCACAGGGGAAAAAAAAUGAAUUAACCCUCACCCUGCCAAUCGGUGAUAUUUGAGAACUUAUAUACCAUCUUAAUAGGGGAAGGGGAUUGGGGAUGUAGGCAAUUUAGGAACUGAUUUUUAGGAAAGUUGAAUGGGCUCUUAGAAGAAUGGGAGAUGGGAGGUAUGAUGGUUUGUGACAAAGUGUGUCUGGCUGUGGUGUCCACUAGUCUCCUCUCCUGUGAUAGGUGUCAGCGUUCCCUGGUUGAUGAAACUCAUGUCAAGAGGAUUUAUGACUGAGUUCCUUUUAGAGCAUCUGUCUUUAGUCAGAUAAGAGGAGUUCAGAGAAAGCCUCCUCUGCAUUUGCUGCUUUUCAAGUGCUUUCGGCUCAAAAUAAUCAAUGUACCAAAGUGGUAUAUUUUGGGGUGGCAUGUCCUGAACUCUUUCAAUACUAAGCCACUGCAUAUACUCAUAUCUAUACUUAUUUCUGUCUUUAUUUAUCUGUAUCUAUAUUAGGCUAAACAUGAGUUCAUACUGAUGUUCCUUGUUCCGUAAAGAAAAAAGUUGGCAACAGAUGGUGUCUUGCAGCAAGUUUCCUUUCAGUCUUGCUAUGAUUAUAUGUGCCAAAUCUAUGAAAAAAAAUUAUUGUCCAUUCUCUAGGCCUCCUCUGAAGAUUAGAUUGUAUUGAAAAACAUGGUUCUAUUAGGCACAAAGCCCUGCAUAGAACUGGAAGCUCGGUCAACAUUAGAGGAAAUAGAAGAGUCGGGCAGGUGGAGCAACAACCUUGCUCUUUGACUAGAUGGUGAUGAAGAGAUGAAGUACGUAGUUUAGAAAUACUUUGAGGAUUCACUAGGAUCAUUUUUUCCUGAUGUGACCACUUCCGCUAGGCAUUGAUGGAGAGAAGUGACUCACCUAGUAAAGAGGUAGUUUUCACAGCAGUUUGUCUUACUUGCUUUGGCAGAGAUGAAGCAGCAGCACCUAGCACUAGUAAAUGAUAUCAGUAAAGCACCUGCAAUUUAAAACAGGCAUGGAAGUUCAGGACUUUUUGUGUCUAAACCUUUCUGCAUUACAAAAAUAAUGUCUUCUUUGUUAGCCUAGGUCUUUUGCAAGUCAGGCUGGUGGAAAAAAGCCUGUGUCAUCGACUUGAGUGUUAGUGAUAUGGCAGGGGAAGGAAAAGCACAGUAUCUUUCCAUUACAGAGGAAGGAGAUUGUGAUGAUUAGGUAGCUAGGCAUGGAGCUCUCAAGAAAUGUUUCUUACAAGUUGAAAAAGGAAGAAAUGCCUGAGGAGAGCUCUAUUUUGCCAACAUUAGCUGUAUCUGAGCAUCUUAUAAAAAUAUCUGAAAGCAUAAACUGACAGUUAAGGAAAAUGUGGGAGAACCAGUUUUGAAAUGCCCUAGGAGAUGGCACUAAAGAUAUGCCAUAGUUUAUUAUAAAACAUUCAUAUCCAUAAACAUCUGAUUUGAGGAACUUUCACUUUUCAGGUAGGGAGAAUACUUAAAAGAAAAGGAAGUAUGAAAGAGAAACCCAGGGUGGAACAAUGUAAUUGAAGAUUUACUACAAUAGAAAUUAAGAUCCUAAUAUGCUUUUAGCAUGUUUUUACAGACUAAAAAGAUAAGGCUUCAUGAACAAAUUAAUAAAACUCUUUUAAACACUAUAUAUUAAUAAUCUUUACUGGCUUAUACUACCUACCUGUGUACAGAAUGUAUCCAUGUAUGUACUGGAUUUUUUAUGUGAGAGUACUAGUGUUCAAUUAUAUAUAUCUUGGUGAUAACAUUUCUAGUGCACAUUGAAAACGUAAUAUAACAUAUAAACCAACAGAUUAGUCUGAAAUUUCACUUUGGAAUCAAAGCAAGAUACCAUUUGCGAUUCUAUAAACAUAACAUAGUACUCUUGGCCUAUGCAAUGGAGUAAAACUUAGAAAAGUAUUUUCAGAAUUGAUUUCAUUUUGUAAACUGUGCAAAUCCACAGCAGAAUUGUGUAUGCAUUGGUGAGUGUGAUUCUGCACCUAAGUUUACUAAGGCAAAGGAGCAAUAGAAAGUGCAUGGUAUUGUGGUAAGCAGGUGGUUAGAGAAAACAACAUCUCGUUAAGGAAGGUGUGGUUGCACAGAGCAUAUUUCAUUUCUAUUCAAGUCUUUAGGCUCUUGAGUCCUUAUUUCUUUUUUUUGAUUCCUUAUUUUUAUGACCAUUUUGAUUCAUGAAGCACUAAUAGUUGAAAUUAAUAAGACAUAUCACAGAAGAUUUCAAUCAUGAAGAAUUGUGAACCAUAGCAUUGUAAUAGAAUUCCCUUGUAUUUAUCUAUCUUUUGGCAACAAUAAAAUACUCAUCUUUUAUGGCUCUGAAUGUAUCCAUGGAUAACGAAG